CUAGUAAUCGUAGAUCAGAAUGCUACGGUGAAUACGUUCCCGGGCCUUGUACACACCGCCCGUCACACCAUGGGAGUGGGUUGCAAAAGAAGUAGGUAGCUUAACCUUCGGGAGGGCGCUUACCACUUUGUGAUUCAUGACUGGGGUGAAGUCGUAACAAGGUAACCGUAGGGGAACCUGCGGUUGGAUCACCUCCUUACCUUAAAGAA
RNAcentral lists this ribosomal RNA (209 nucleotides) under Klebsiella pneumoniae. Its description in RNAcentral is "partial 16S ribosomal RNA". It matches the Rfam family "Bacterial small subunit ribosomal RNA", at positions 1335 to 1533 of the family's 1533-position model. The record is from RNAcentral. Lineage: Bacteria; Pseudomonadati; Pseudomonadota; Gammaproteobacteria; Enterobacterales; Enterobacteriaceae.